CAAUGAAUCAUUUGAAGCCAAAGUACAGCCAGCCCCACCCCCCUCCCCCAGCAGGUGGACGACUGCAUGGGGCUCCUCCACUCACCAAAAGCAAGAGGAAGGAGGAGCAAGGGCAACCCUCCAGCUGCCCUACCAUGCAUCAGAAAGCCAGAAAUGGGCAGCACGCUGUUUCCAGCCAACAGACCAGCCACACCAGGUACCACCGCAAAACAUGCAGAAGCGGCAGGCAGCGAGAAAGAGCUGGAGCCAGCACCACAGGGCAGGAGCAAGCCGGAGGAGCUCUUUACGCCGUGUGAUCACCAGGAAAUGAGGAAAGACCCAUGGGUACCAGGCCCUGGGUUAGGUGCUGUACCGUCUUAUUGCCUCUGAUCCUCGCAGUGGUCUCAUGAGAAAGUUAAUGACAAAUCCAGCCAGAGUGAACAGAUGGAGUGACAAGUGACAGCCCAUCUUAUAUAUAUGAAUGUUUGUGCUUCCCCAUCUGCGUGAGAUGUGUCCAUUGACUUGCUUUGACCAAUGGGGGAAGACACGUGUGUCUUCUUUGUGUAAAAGAACUGCUUUGUUCUCCACCACUUUCUUGCCCUUGCUACAGCAAUGGGAGACUCCCAAUGAUGGAGCCUUCAUCAGCCUGAGUCUCUGAGUGAGGAUUUUGUAGAGAAGAGCCCCUCACAAAUCUAAAGAUGGACGUGUCACAUAAGUGAGAAAUAAACCAUGGAUUUAAGUCAUGGAAAUGUGUUGUUGUUAUUGGAGCAAAGCUUAGCCUACCCG
RNAcentral lists this long non-coding RNA (765 nucleotides) under Equus caballus (horse). Its description in RNAcentral is "lncRNA (ENSECAG00000047793.1)". Lineage: Eukaryota; Metazoa; Chordata; Mammalia; Perissodactyla; Equidae. The record is from RNAcentral.